UAAAAAUUAAGGUUAAACCGUCAG
RNAcentral lists this microRNA (24 nucleotides) under Ananas comosus (pineapple). RNAcentral describes it as "microRNA s1500_c085b". Lineage: Eukaryota; Viridiplantae; Streptophyta; Magnoliopsida; Poales; Bromeliaceae. The record is from RNAcentral.